This is a long non-coding RNA of Epinephelus lanceolatus (giant grouper), 607 nucleotides long. RefSeq lists it as uncharacterized. The record is from RefSeq and is a predicted model, not a curated record. Lineage: Eukaryota; Metazoa; Chordata; Actinopteri; Perciformes; Serranidae.
UGUGGAUUCAAUUUUGUGUUCUUGGACGUUAGUUAGGGGCGCCGUCUGCCAUUAGGUGAUAUUUCAGACAUAGAGCGCUGUGAGAGUCAGUGAGCCCUGAGCCAUGCGCCCUGCUGUGGUAACUGACGUCCUUCUCCUGGUGGUGUUGACAUUCAUGUCAGACUCUGCAGCUGGGAAUCCUGUUCCAGACUGUGGCAAUGCUGCCACAUGUGAAGGGAUCGAUGAUGAAGGCUGGCUCCAGCUGGGUGAAAACUGCUGUUUGAAGCCAUUCAACACAUUGUAUUUGACCUUUGAUGAGGCAGAGAGAGCCUGUAGUGAGUACACAUCAAACAGUGGUUUGAGGGGAACUGCAUCGAUUUUCCAUCUCAGUGUAUUUCCAGGUGUUCGGGAGUCCUACUAUGCAUGUUUUAAAAGUAGUAUGAAACCUUUAGUGUCUCUGGAGUUAACUGUAUGAAGUCUGAUAAAAAUGAUGUGAUGUCACUUGAGUCAGGGUUGGUUUGAGACUACAAAUUUGAAAAGUAAUACAAAUCUUGAGGUGUGUAGUUGUAGAUACACAAGUGCAAUGAUGAAUUUAUGGAUUACUCUUUUAAUGCAGAUCAAUGGAUGG